UAAUUGAAGAGUUUGAUCAUGGCUCAGAUUGAACGCUGGCGGUAGGUUUUAAACAUGCAAGUCGAGCGGUAACAGACAUUUUGAUUCAGCUUGCUGAAUCUCGUGCUGACGAGCGGCGAACGGGUGAGUAACGCGUAGGAAUCUACCCAGUAGCGGGGGAUAGCCCGAGGAAACUCGGAUUAAUACCGCAUACGCCCUAAGGGGGAAAGGGGGCAUCUUUGAUGCUCUUACUAUUGGAUGAGCCUGCGUAAGAUUAGCUUGUUGGUAGGGUAAAGGCCUACCAAGGCUACGAUCUUUAGCUGGUCUGAGAGGACGAUCAGCCACAUUGGGACUGAGACACGGCCCAGACGUCUACGGACGGCAGCAGUUAAGAAUAUUGGACAAUGGGGGAAACCCUGAUCCAGCCAUACCGCGUGUGUGAAGAAGGCCUUAGGGUUGUAAAGCACUUUAAGCAAUGAAGAAGAAAAAUAAGUUAAUACCUUGUUUUUUUGACAUUAGUUGCAGAAUAAGUACCGGCUAACUCCGUGCCAGCAGCCGCGGUAAUACGGAGGGUACAAGCGUUAAUCGGAAUUACUGGGCGUAAAGCGCGCGUAGGCGGUUAAGCAAGUUGGAUGUGAAAGCCCCGGGCUCAACCUGGGAACUGCAUUCAAAACUACUUAGCUAGAGUACGAGAGAGGAGAGUAGAAUUUCUGGUGUAGCGGUGAAAUGCGUAGAUAUCAGAAGGAAUACCGAUGGCGAAGGCAGCUCUCUGGCUCGUCACUGACGCUAAGGUGCGAAAGCGUGGGUAGCAAACAGGAUUAGAUACCCUGGUAGUCCACGCCGUAAACGAUGAGAACUAGCCGUUGGAGGGAAUUAACUCUUCGGUGGCGCAGCUAACGCAUUAAGUUCUCCGCCUGGGGACUACGGCCGCAAGGCUAAAACUCAAAUGAAUUGACGGGGGCCCGCACAAGCGGUGGAGCAUGUGGUUUAAUUCGAUGCAACGCGAAGAACCUUACCUGGUCUUGACAUCCUGCGAACUUUCUAGAAAUAGAUUGGUGCCUUCGGGAACGCAGUGACAGGUGCUGCAUGGCUGUCGUCAGCUCGUGUCGUGAGAUGUUGGGUUAAGUCCCGUAACGAGCGCAACCC
This 1125-nucleotide ribosomal RNA is filed under the name SAR86 cluster bacterium. Its description in RNAcentral is "bacterial SSU rRNA". It matches the Rfam family "Bacterial small subunit ribosomal RNA", at positions 1 to 1104 of the family's 1533-position model. The record is from RNAcentral. Lineage: Bacteria; Pseudomonadati; Pseudomonadota; Gammaproteobacteria.